GACGUAGGGCGCGAGCGUUGUCCGGAUUUAUUGGGCGUAAAGAGCUCGUAGGCGGCUUGUUGCGUCGGCUGUGAAAUCCCAUGGCUCAACUGUGGGCUUGCAGCCGAUACUGUCGGGCUAGAGUCCGGAAGAGGCGAGUGGAAUUCCUGGUGUAGCGGUGAAAUGCGCAGAUAUCAGGAGGAACACCAAUGGCGAAGGCAGCUCGCUGGGACGGUACUGACGCUGAGGCGCGAAAGCGUGGGGAGCAAACAGG
Molecule: ribosomal RNA, 253 nt
Filed under: uncultured bacterium
Lineage: Bacteria
Description: partial 16S ribosomal RNA
Rfam family: Bacterial small subunit ribosomal RNA
Source: RNAcentral